Molecule: ribosomal RNA, 711 nt
Filed under: uncultured Serratia sp.
Lineage: Bacteria; Pseudomonadati; Pseudomonadota; Gammaproteobacteria; Enterobacterales; Yersiniaceae
Description: bacterial SSU rRNA
Rfam family: Bacterial small subunit ribosomal RNA
Source: RNAcentral
GCAAACAGGAUUAGAUACCCUGGUAGUCCACGCCGUAAACGAUGUCGACUUGGAGGUUGUUCCCUUGAGGAGUGGCUUCCGGAGCUAACGCGUUAAGUCGACCGCCUGGGGAGUACGGCCGCAAGGUUAAAACUCAAAUGAAUUGACGGGGGCCCGCACAAGCGGUGGAGCAUGUGGUUUAAUUCGAUGCAACGCGAAGAACCUUACCUACUCUUGACAUCCAGAGAACUUAGCAGAGAUGCUUUGGUGCCUUCGGGAACUCUGAGACAGGUGCUGCAUGGCUGUCGUCAGCUCGUGUUGUGAAAUGUUGGGUUAAGUCCCGCAACGAGCGCAACCCUUAUCCUUUGUUGCCAGCGGUUAGGCCGGGAACUCAAAGGAGACUGCCAGUGAUAAACUGGAGGAAGGUGGGGAUGACGUCAAGUCAUCAUGGCCCUUACGAGUAGGGCUACACACGUGCUACAAUGGCGCAUACAAAGAGAAGCGACCUCGCGAGAGCAAGCGGACCUCAUAAAGUGCGUCGUAGUCCGGAUUGGAGUCUGCAACUCGACUCCAUGAAGUCGGAAUCGCUAGUAAUCGUAGAUCAGAAUGCUACGGUGAAUACGUUCCCGGGCCUUGUACACACCGCCCGUCACACCAUGGGAGUGGGUUGCAAAAGAAGUAGGUAGCUUAACCUUCGGGAGGGCGCUUACCACUUUGUGAUUCAUGACUGGG